Oreochromis aureus is the source of this 1263-nucleotide long non-coding RNA. RefSeq lists it as uncharacterized. Lineage: Eukaryota; Metazoa; Chordata; Actinopteri; Cichliformes; Cichlidae. The record is from RefSeq and is a predicted model, not a curated record. The transcript has 3 exons.
UGUGCUGGAAAAAUUAUGUCUUUCUGAAAGCCACAGAAAUCUGACAAAUUACUAUAAUCAAACAAAUGAGAUAAUUAUUACAUUAUUAUGAAAUGAUGGGGCAAUUUCUUUUUCAAAAAUAUGAUGAUGAAAAUAUUUUUUUUUUUCAUUUGUAUCUUCCUGGAAUCAUCAGGAUGUUUCAUCAGCGGAAUAGUAAUCGCAUGUUGUGUCAUCGUUGCUGCAGCUGUUGGUGUAGUUCUAGUCAUGACUCCAGCUUGUGAUUUGUUGUUAUUUCUCAGGGUAGCUAAAUCUUUUGUUGCAUUUUGUUGUUUUUAUGCGACGGUAAUAAAAUAAUUAUGUCUAUAACAGUAAUUGACAUAAGAAUGUGAGUAAAGCUGUGUUAAAAUACAGUUGGAAAUCCUAUUUUUAAAACUUUUAUAACAGUAAAACUUAAACUCACAAAAACAUUUUAGGCAUAUAGAAUGAUUGUGGUUGUAUUAUUUAUUUUGUAAAAACAUUGAGGCUCCAUAGGUGUUAUUAUGUUACAAAGGUUCAGAGAAUGCUUGUGUUGUAAUGUAUAGUAAUGACCUUUUAACUCUCUCAGCAGAAGACAUCUGAAUCAGUCCACACACACAGAAACUACCACUGCAACAGCAGCUGAAGGUCAGGAUAAUCCAGCUUCCUCCAGUCAGGAGCUGAACUUUACAAAUGUGAGGUUUAUCCCAAACAAAAAUACACAUAGUGACUCUGCACAUUAUGCGUCCUCCCCUCCUUCCUAUGAUGAAGUCAUGCAGGAAGUGAAUAGAUUCAAAUAGUACUGGACACCAAAAGCAGUGAAACCUGAACUUCUCUUGUAGUUCCUUCAUUGUGAGCUUGUCUGGACAUGGCUUUCCGACUUUCCUUUAACAUGUAAUUAACAACCAACCAGCUCUGAAGUUUACUGUCACUGGAAAACUGUUUCUAUUUAUUACUUUGAUAUUUCUUUAAAAACUGUAUAUCGUGUUUUACAGCCCAUGUAAAAUGCAGUUACCUAAGCAGUAAUAUUCUUUAUAUUUGAUUCAAAUGUUAAUCUAGCUAAUGUUUGUCACAGGUUUGACAUAAUGUAAUAUCAUGUGAUUUCAUAUGAGAUUCUAGUGUUUAUUUGUUAAAAGUAACACUCCUGGAUACUACUUAAUGAUCAGUUUGAUGAAUGAAUAAUGUGUCAUUACCUUAGUGAACUGUAAAGGCGCUGCACUGUUUGAAAGUUUUGAAUUAAAUGAAAUGUUACAACAAAGAAAAUGUUAA